UACGGGGGGAGCAAGCGUUGUUCGGAUUUACUGGGCGUAAAGGGCGCGUAGGCGGCCUGUGCAAGUCAGUUGUGAAAUCUCCGGGCUUAACUCGGAACGGUCAACUGAUACUGCUCGGCUAGAGUGCAGAAGGGGCAACUGGAAUUCUUGGUGUAGCGGUGAAAUGCGUAGAUAUCAAGAGGAACACCUGCGGCGAAGGCGGGUUGCUGGGCUGACACUGACGCUGAAGUGCGAAAGCUAGGGGAGCGAACGGG
RNAcentral lists this ribosomal RNA (254 nucleotides) under uncultured bacterium. RNAcentral describes it as "partial 16S ribosomal RNA". It matches the Rfam family "Bacterial small subunit ribosomal RNA", at positions 524 to 776 of the family's 1533-position model. The record is from RNAcentral.